This 72-nucleotide transfer RNA is filed under the name Ailuropoda melanoleuca (giant panda). It matches the Rfam family "tRNA". Rfam says of the family: Transfer RNA (tRNA) molecules are approximately 80 nucleotides in length. The record is from Rfam by way of RNAcentral. Lineage: Eukaryota; Metazoa; Chordata; Mammalia; Carnivora; Ursidae.
GCCUGGCUGGCUCAGUAGGAAGAGCAUGUGACUUUGACCUCAGGGUCAUGAGUUCAAGCCCCAUGUUGGGUG